CCUACGGGGCGCAGCAGGCGCGAAAACUGUGCAAUGCGCGAAAGCGCGACACGGGGAGCUUGAGUGUCUUGGCAUAGCCAAGACUUUUCUUAUACCUAAAAAGUAUAAGGAAUAAGUGCUGGGUAAGACGGGUGCCAGCCGCCGCGGUAACAC
This 153-nucleotide ribosomal RNA is filed under the name uncultured Ferroplasma sp. RNAcentral's name for it is "partial 16S ribosomal RNA". It matches the Rfam family "Archaeal small subunit ribosomal RNA", at positions 322 to 476 of the family's 1478-position model. Lineage: Archaea; Methanobacteriati; Thermoplasmatota; Thermoplasmata; Thermoplasmatales; Ferroplasmaceae. The record is from RNAcentral.